GCGCCCGUAGCUCAGCCGGAUAGAGCACCGGAUUCCUAAUCCGGGGGCCGCAGGUUCGAAUCCUGCCGGGCGCGCCA
Molecule: transfer RNA, 77 nt
Filed under: Bacillota bacterium
Lineage: Bacteria; Bacillati; Bacillota
Description: tRNA-Arg
Rfam family: tRNA
About the family: Transfer RNA (tRNA) molecules are approximately 80 nucleotides in length. Their secondary structure includes four short double-helical elements and three loops (D, anti-codon, and T loops).
Source: RNAcentral